GAUGAAGAACGUAGUGAAAUGCGAUAAGUAAUGUGAAUUGCAGAAUUCAGUGAAUCAUCGAAUCUUUGAACGCACAUUGCGCCCCUUGGUAUUCCGGGGGGCAUGCCUGUUCGAGCGUCAUUUCAACCCUCAAGCUCAGCUUGGUAUUGAGUCCAUGUCAGUAAUGGCAGGCUCUAAAAUCAGUGGCGGCGCCGCUGGGUCCUGAACGUAGUAAUAUCUCUCGUUACAGGUUCUCGGUGUGCUUCUGCCAAAACCCAAAUUUUCUAUGGUUGACCUCGGAUCAGGUAGGGAUACCCGCUGAACUUAAGCAUAUCAAAAGCGGAGGA
This 326-nucleotide unclassified non-coding RNA is filed under the name soil metagenome. RNAcentral describes it as "partial contains 5.8S ribosomal RNA, internal transcribed spacer 2, and large subunit ribosomal RNA". The stretch from base 1 to 120 matches the Rfam family "5.8S ribosomal RNA", at positions 35 to 154 of the family's 154-position model. The record is from RNAcentral.